AGAGUUUGAUCAUGGCUCAGAUUGAACGCUGGCGGUAUGCUUAACACAUGCAAGUCGAACGGUAACAGCAAGAGCUUGCUCUUGGCUGACGAGUGGCGGACGGGUGAGUAACGCGUGGGAAUCUACCCAGAAGUUCGGGACAACCUGGUGAGAACCAGGCUAAUACCGAAUGUGAUCUACGGAUGAAAGGAGGGGAUCUUCGGACCUUUCGCUUCUGGAUGAGCCCGCGUUAGAUUAGCUAGUUGGUGGGGUAAAGGCCUGCCAAGGCGACGAUCUAUAGCUGGUCUAAGAGGACGAUCAGCCACACUGGGACUGAGACACGGCCCAGACUCCUACGGGAGGCAGCAGUGGGGAAUAUUGGACAAUGGGGGCAACCCUGAUCCAGCAAUACCGCGUGUGUGAAGAAGGCCUGCGGGUUGUAAAGCACUUUCAAUUGUGAAGAAAAGAUUAAGGUUAAUAACCUUAGUCCUUGACGUUAACUUUAGAAGAAGCACCGGCUAACUCCGUGCCAGCAGCCGCGGUAAUACGGAGGGUGCGAGCGUUAAUCGGAAUUACUGGGCGUAAAGCGUGCGUAGGCGGUUAUUUAAGUCAGAUGUGAAAGCCCAGGGCUCAACCUUGGAACUGCAUUUGAAACUGGAUAACUAGAGUUUGGUAGAGGCGGGUAGAAUUCCUAGUGUAGCGGUGAAAUGCGUAGAUAUUAGGAGGAAUACCAGUGGCGAAGGCGGCCCGCUGGACCAAAACUGACGCUGAGGUACGAAAGCGUGGGGAGCAAACGGGAUUAGAUACCCCGGUAGUCCACGCCGUAAACGAUGUCAACUAGUCGUUGGACCUUUCGGGGUUUAGUGACGCAGCUAACGCGUGAAGUUGACCGCCUGGGGAGUACGGCCGCAAGGCUAAAACUCAAAUGAAUUGACGG
RNAcentral lists this ribosomal RNA (916 nucleotides) under Siboglinum sp. associated bacterium. Its description in RNAcentral is "bacterial SSU rRNA". It matches the Rfam family "Bacterial small subunit ribosomal RNA", at positions 8 to 916 of the family's 1533-position model. The record is from RNAcentral.